GAUGAACGCUGGCGGCGUGCCUAAUACAUGCAAGUCGAGUGAACGGACGAGAAGCUUGCUUUUCUGAUGUUAGCGGCGGACGGGUGAGUAACACGUGGAUAACCUACCUAUAAGACUGGGAUAACUUCGGGAAACCGGAGCUAAUACCGGAUAAUAUUUUGAACCGCAUGGUUCAAAAGUGAAAGACGGUCUUGCUGUCACUUAUAGAUGGAUCCGCGCUGCAUUAGCUAGUUGGUAAGGUAACGGCUUACCAAGGCAACGAUGCAUAGCCGACCUGAGAGGGUGAUCGGCCACCCUGGAUCUGAGACACGGUCCAGACUCCUACGGGAGGCAGCAGUAGGGACUCUUCCGCAAUGGGCGAAAGCCUGACGGAGCAACGCCGCGCGAGUGCUGAAGGUCUUCGGCUCGUAAAACUCUGUUAUUAGGGAAGAACAUAUGUGUAAGUAACUGUGCACAUCUUGACGGUACCUAAUCAGAAAGCCCCGGCUAACUACGUG
Molecule: ribosomal RNA, 497 nt
Filed under: uncultured bacterium
Lineage: Bacteria
Description: partial 16S ribosomal RNA
Rfam family: Bacterial small subunit ribosomal RNA
Source: RNAcentral